AGGAUGUCGGCUCUUCCUAUCAUUGCGAAGCAGAAUUCGCCAAGCGUUGGAUUGUUCACCCACCAAUAGGGAACGUGAGCUGGGUUUAGACCGUCGUGAGACAGGUUAGUUUUACCCUACUGUGAUAUGUUACCCUACUGUGAUAUGUUGUUGCGAUAGUAAUCCUGCUCAGUACGAGAGGAACCGCAGGUUCAGACAUUUGGUUCAUGUUCUUGGCCGAUCGGCCAAUGGUGCGAAGCUACCAUCUGAGGGAUUAUGACUGAACGCCUCUAAGUCAGAAUCUCACCUAGACAAGGCAACGAUAAAUUUGCUCCCCGAUGUUGGGAGGCACUAUUAUGUAAUAAAUAUUUUAUUACAGUUAAUGCCCCAUUAUAUGGUCUUGCUACUUAAUCGAAUGGUUAAGUGGUUGCCAAAACCGGAGUACUCUGGGACAAUGUCGGGGCGCAAAAUCACUUGCAGACGACUUGAUUACUGGUCAAGGUGUUGUAAGCAGUAGAGCAGCCUCCAUACUGCGAUCUUUUGAGACUUAUCCUUUGAUUGGACGAUUUGU
RNAcentral lists this non-coding RNA (550 nucleotides) under Onchocerca volvulus. RNAcentral describes it as "Eukaryotic large subunit ribosomal RNA". It matches the Rfam family "Eukaryotic large subunit ribosomal RNA", at positions 2875 to 3401 of the family's 3401-position model. Lineage: Eukaryota; Metazoa; Nematoda; Chromadorea; Rhabditida; Onchocercidae. The record is from Rfam by way of RNAcentral.